ACUCCGACGUACAUCUUUCAAAAAAAAAAAAAAAAAAAUUACAGAAAAUAACGAUCUAUUUCCAUGCUUAUGGUAUAUAUUUAUCUUGCUGGAAGAAAUGGGGCAGACCCCUCCCCUCCGUCCAAGAGAUCUGGUAAUGACAUCAAUUACCGCUCGGAGGAAAAAAAACAUCCAUCCAUUCCAAUAAGAGCUUUACGUCCGGAGACAGCCAUACCCUGACGUAACCGCCGGCUGUCAAAAAUAAAAGCCAGCAGAAAACAGGGAUGCGUUGAAUAGACGGGGCUACGAUGGAGCUUAGAAGCAGGACCUGACCUUUGAGGAUUAAAGGCGCACAUUUUGAUGGAAUAGAAGAGUCUUCGGAUUGUUCUGUUUCCAGCACUUACAAAGUGCCCUCAGCCACGUUAAUUCCAGGAAAACAAGCAGAAUAAGAAAGAAAGAAAGAAAGAAAUAUUGAGGUGUUGCCUGCAGGCCCUCAUUACUCACGAAGCAGGCUGAGACAGCAAAACUGGAAGGGGUGGGAGAGACCUUAUUAAAACACCGGCUGCUUGCAACUGAACCUCAGUAUGGGGAAGAGAAUUGGUGAAGCUGCAGUGAAUCAGAGACAUUUAUUAUUGUUGUUGUUUGUUUGUUGUUGUUGUUGUUGGACUGACAGUCACCAACUGUCUUCAGACUGGAGUUGUCACUUUUGUCCACCUAUCGAGUCCUUUCCAAGAGGCAGGUGUUGAUAUUUGACGGUGUUAAAAAUCUCGCCGCAGGAUGAAAGCUGUUCCAAGUCAAACUGCCUUUUUUUUGCAAUUGACCGAUCGGGGAUUGUGUCAAUGCCGAUGUCAGGUUUCGAUGUCAUCUCAAAUAAAUUGCACUCCCAAACAAUUAA
Molecule: non-coding RNA, 874 nt
Organism: Pantherophis guttatus
Lineage: Eukaryota; Metazoa; Chordata; Lepidosauria; Squamata; Colubridae
Source: RefSeq, a predicted model, not a curated record